GUGAGGAAUAUUGCGCAAUGGAGGCAACUCUGACGCAGCCAUGCCGCGUGCAGGAAGAAGGCGCUACGCGUUGUAAACUGCUUUUAACCGGGAAGAAACCCCAGGACGUGUCCUGGGUUGACGGUACCGGAGGAAUAAGCACCGGCUAACUUCGUGCCAGCAGCCGCGGUAAUACGAAGGGUGCAAGCGUUAUCCGGAUUCAUUGGGUUUAAAGGGUGCGUAGGCGGAGCGUUAAGUCAGUGGUGAAAUCCUGCAGCUUAACUGUAGACUUGCCAUUGAUACUGGCGCUCUUGAGUGCGCUUGAAGUGGGCGGAAUGUGCCGUGUAGCGGUGAAAUGCUUAGAUAUGGCACAGAACACCAAUUGCGAAGGCAGCUCACUAAGGCGAUACUGACGCUGAGGAACGAAAGCGUGGGGAUCGAACAGGAUUAGAUACCCGGGUAUUCC
RNAcentral lists this ribosomal RNA (445 nucleotides) under uncultured bacterium. RNAcentral's name for it is "partial 16S ribosomal RNA". It matches the Rfam family "Bacterial small subunit ribosomal RNA", at positions 354 to 796 of the family's 1533-position model. The record is from RNAcentral.